AUUGAACGCUGGCGGCAGGCCUAACACAUGCAAGUCGAGCGGAUGAAGGGAGCUUGCUCCUGGAUUCAACGGCGGACGGGUGAGUAAUGCCUAGGAAUCUGCCUGGUAGUGGGGGAUAACGUCCGGAAACGGGCGCUAAUACCGCAUACGUCCUGAGGGAGAAAGUGGGGGAUCUUCGGACCUCACGCUAUCAGAUGAGCCUAGGUCGGAUUAGCUAGUUGGUGGGGUAAAGGCCUACCAAGGCGACGAUCCGUAACUGGUCUGAGAGGAUGAUCAGUCACACUGGAACUGAGACACGGUCCAGACUCCUACGGGAGGCAGCAGUGGGGAAUAUUGGACAAUGGGCGAAAGCCUGAUCCAGCCAUGCCGCGUGUGUGAAGAAGGUCUUCGGAUUCUAAAGCACUUUAAGUUGGGAGGAAGGGCAGUAAGUUAAUACCUUGCUGUUUUGACGUUACCAACAGAAUAAGCACCGGCUAACUUCGUG
This 484-nucleotide ribosomal RNA is filed under the name uncultured bacterium. RNAcentral describes it as "partial 16S ribosomal RNA". It matches the Rfam family "Bacterial small subunit ribosomal RNA", at positions 30 to 507 of the family's 1533-position model. The record is from RNAcentral.